UCCUGGAAACGGGUGGUAAAUCCCGGAUGCUCCAAGUCUCUCGCAUGGUGGUUUGGGAAAGCUUUAUCGGUAUGGGAUGGGGUCGCGUCCUAUCAGGUAGUCGGCGGGGUAACGGCCCACCGAGCCUACGACGGGUAGCCGGCCUGAGAGGGCGACCGGCCACAUUGGGACUGAGAUACGGCCCAGACUCCUACGGGAGGCAGCAGUGGGGAAUAUUGCACAAUGGGCGCAAGCCUGAUGCAGCGACGCCGCGUGCGGGAUGACGGCCUUCGGGUUGUAAACCGCUUUUGAUCGGGAGCAAGCCUUCGGGUGAGUGUACCUUUCGAAUAAGCACCGGCUAACUACGUGCCAGCAGCCGCGGUAAUACGUAGGGUGCAAGCGUUAUCCGGAAUUAUUGGGCGUAAAGGGCUCGUAGGCGGUUCGUCGCGUCCGGUGUGAAAGUCCAUCGCUUAACGGUGGAUCCGCGCCGGGUACGGGCGGGCUUGAGUGCGGUAGGGGAGACUGGAAUUCCCGGUGUAACGGUGGAAUGUGUAGAUAUCGGGAAGAACACCAAUGGCGAAGGCAGGUCUCUGGGCCGUUACUGACGCUGAGGAGCGAAAGCGUGGGGAGCGAACAGGAUUAGAUACCCUGGUAGUCCACGCCGUAAACGGUGGAUGCUGGAUGUGGGGCCCGUUCCACGGGUUCCGUGUCGGAGCUAACGCGUUAAGCAUCCCGCCUGGGGAGUACGGCCGCAAGGCUAAAACUCAAAGAAAUUGACGGGGGCCCGCACAAGCGGCGGAGCAUGCGGAUUAAUUCGAUGCAACGCGAAGAACCUUACCUGGGCUUGACAUGUUCCCGACCGCUCCAGAGAUGGGGCUUCCCUUCGGGGCGGGUUCACAGGUGGUGCAUGGUCGUCGUCAGCUCGUGUCGUGAGAUGUUGGGUUAAGUCCCGCAACGAGCGCAACCCUCGCCCUGUGUUGCCAGCACAUGAUGGUGGGAACUCACGGGGGACCGCCGGGGUCAACUCGGAGGAAGGUGGGGAUGACGUCAGAUCAUCAUGCCCCUUACGUCCAGGGCUUCACGCAUGCUACAAUGGCCGGUACAACGGGAUGCGACACGGCGACGUGGAGCGGAUCCCUGAAAACCGGUCUCAGUUCGGAUUGGAGUCUGCAACCCGACUCCAUGAAGGCGGAGUCGCUAGUAAUCGCGAUCAGCA
This 1195-nucleotide ribosomal RNA is filed under the name Bifidobacterium catenulatum subsp. kashiwanohense. RNAcentral describes it as "bacterial SSU rRNA". It matches the Rfam family "Bacterial small subunit ribosomal RNA", at positions 148 to 1354 of the family's 1533-position model. Lineage: Bacteria; Bacillati; Actinomycetota; Actinomycetes; Bifidobacteriales; Bifidobacteriaceae. The record is from RNAcentral.